This 362-nucleotide ribosomal RNA is filed under the name uncultured Clostridium sp. RNAcentral describes it as "bacterial SSU rRNA". It matches the Rfam family "Bacterial small subunit ribosomal RNA", at positions 9 to 353 of the family's 1533-position model. The record is from RNAcentral. Lineage: Bacteria; Bacillati; Bacillota; Clostridia; Eubacteriales; Clostridiaceae.
GAGUUUGAUCAUGGCUCAGGAUGAACGCUGGCGGCGUGCCUAACACAUGCAAGUCGAGCGAAGCAUACAGAAUGAAGUUUUCGGAUGGAUUUCUGUAUGACUGAGCGGCGGACGGGUGAGUAACGCGUGGGUAACCUGCCUUAUACAGGGGGAUAACAGUUAGAAAUGACUGCUAAUACCGCAUAAGCGCACAGUACCGCAUGGUAGUGUGUGAAAAACUCCGGUGGUAUAAGAUGGACCCGCGUCUGAUUAGCCAGUUGGCGGGGUAACGGCCCACCAAAGCGACGAUCAGUAGCCGACCUGAGAGGGUGACCGGCCACAUUGGGACUGAGACACGGCCCAAACUCCUACGGGAGGCAGCA